UACGGAGGGUGCAAGCGUGUCCGGAUUUAUUGGGUUUAAAGGGUGCGUAGGUGGUUUGAUAAGUCCGGGGUGAAAUCCCACGGCUCAACCGUGGAACUGCCGGGCAUACUGGCGAUCUUGAGGCAUUCAGGGGCGAGUGGAACAAAUGGUGGAGCGGGUGAAAUGCGGUAGAUAUCAUUUGGAACGCCAAUGGUGAAAACAACAUCGCUGGGAAUGAUCUGACGCUGAGACGCGAAAGCCAGGGGAGCGAACGGG
Molecule: ribosomal RNA, 255 nt
Filed under: uncultured bacterium
Lineage: Bacteria
Description: partial 16S ribosomal RNA
Rfam family: Bacterial small subunit ribosomal RNA
Source: RNAcentral